UAUCGCUCGCGCAUUAUUGUUGCAAUUGGGCAUUUUUAUUAUAAUUUGAAUUAUCUUAUUUUGUUACUUGCCUAAUUUUUGCCAAUUUAGCCGGCUAAAAGUCAGUUAAAACCGGCUCGUGCGAUUGUGAAAAAUGAUUCGCAAUCAGAAUCCGGGAUAUAAUCUGUUGGGAUGUACACGGCGCUGAUCGCUGAUCCCCUUUCUAUCAUUCUGCUGCACCUCCAUCGUGCGGUAGCGGAAUUUUCAUUUUCCCGCCGAUUGGAUUCAAAGCAGUGAGCAGCAUAGAAUUUGCUGCUGCAGGUCGCUUUCGGCCGUGUAGCGGCGCGGAGCCAAUCAGAGAGCUGCUGCUGCCGCUGCUGCAUUGGCGGGAACAGAAACUGGGCAAACACACCAACAUUGCCGGAAAGAGGGGGAAAAGUGACAAAACCAUCGCCGCCGCCUCGCUAGCGGCGCUAGCGCCAUUUGCCAUUAGACAUUUAGACAUUAGACUAAUAGACGAGUUAAUAGAGUAAGCAGGGCCUGUAUGUUUUGCAACUGUCCCUCAUCCAUUUUGUGUAUUUGUCCGAUUUUCCCUUUCGACAAUCUGAUCUAAAGCACGUAAUUAAUUGGAAACCUCCGAAUUUCGACACAUCUUUUGCACACGAAUAUCUCAAUUUCCCGCAGAGCAGCGUGAGUAUGUAUGUAUUUACAUAAUUUUCCGAGAUUCUUGCCUUGCAUAGAUUUGAUUAUGAUCUCAGUCUCGUGCGUGAAUCAUUUGCUUUAUCGUGGCUGCGUGUUUUUUAAGGAUUUCAUCUUUUGGUGUGUAUUUUACAGUUGCAUUACGCGGAUGAAAAUUCAUGUGUACGUAAAUUCGCUAAAACUUUUGCAACUGCGCUCGAAUAAAUUCGCAUGUAUGUAUGAAUGAAAAUACAUACAUUCAAGCAAUCGCUGGUUUUGGCACAGCGAUUGCCGGUGCCGGUAUCGAUCCAAAAGAUAGAAAAAAUCCUUUUGAAAAACGAAGACGUGCAGUCAGGAUAAUGUGAGUUAUUUAUGUGCGAGACCCAGGUUUUAAUCAAAUCUUUUCGAGGCAAUUUGGAAAAUGUAUGUACAUUCGCUGCAUGGCGGGAAAUUGCGGGAAUGUGUUUAAAUCUCAGUCACGUACACCAAUCAUUUCCUGUAGCGUGACUGCAAAAGGCUUAGUGUUUACAAAAUUUCAGAUUCGGGUGUAAUAAAUUAAUUUGCAUGAACUUUGCAACUGCUUUUUAUGUAUGUUGCAUGAGACUAGAGGUUUUUAUCUGUUCUCUCCUGCGGUGGUGUUGACGCAUUCCUCUUUGCAGCCUGGUUUCGACCGUCGAAAAUGGAAAUAAUGCGCGGCCAGUAAUGAAGUUUAGUACAUUUUUAGGUGUACAAAAAGGUAUGUAUUAACACUAUAAGGAUUUUGUUUUUCAUGCACGCGAUGUAUGCAUUCGAUUCGUCGCUGUUACAUCUACUUUCAACCACACUCAUUUCGUAAAAUCCAGAACAAGAAUUAAGAUGAUGAACCAGAAGCGUGGCAGCCAAACGGAGAAAGGAGAAAAAGCAGCGCAGCCGAAGGGAGGAAAUAAUCAGGAGGAUCAAAGUAAUGCAGCGGUGUUUUACCUUAAUUAACCGAUCUAGUCAAACCAAGCAGUUUUUUUAAAAGACUUUUUAGAAGUAGCUUUCGCGCAACACUGAAAAGGAUUUCUCUAAUAUCAGCGGUAUUUCGUUGAGCCAAAAUAGAUUUUCGCAGCUGUAAGUUGCGAGUAAUCCUGUCGGAAUAUAUUUAUUUUUAGGCUUACGUUGCCUCUGCUUUAAUUAAUAAUUGAUGCAGCGAUCUGCACCACGGGAAAAUGGUAAGUUGGGAAUCGCUCUCUACACGCACUGCGUACUCAAAAUUUAGCGUCUGCUGACGCUCGUGAUAACUAAAAUUGAAACGACCUCUCAUGGCGCGAAAUACUAACCGUUUCCGGGAUUAAUCCGGAGAAAUGGUGGUCUUUUGCGCAAUGGAAAAAUUGCGAACCCUGGAGGUUUGACGCACAAAUUUCUAAGAAAGUUUGCAUAUUUUUCAGGCUGUUUUCUUAUGGAACGGAAGGUAUUUCUUCAAUUUCUGGUUUAAAACAAGUUCGCAAAAGAUUCAUUACAAAUAUUUUCUCACGAAAAGUACCCAUUUUUAAAAUUUCAAUUUUUUGGGGCUUUGAAGCCGGCGGCUGCCCAUAAGUGACUCAAAAAUUUGACGGCCGGAUGAGACCUCUACAUAGAAUCUAAUAUUAAUUUUGGUAAAAUUAUUUAGUCAUUUUUUAUGCGUCCUAAUCUAUUUUUUGCAUUGAAUUCUUGGCUCUCAUUUUUGAGACCAAUUUUUUAUAUUAUUUAUUUUGCACUUUAAAACUUGUCUGCCAUCCAUUUAGUUCUUGGAAAUGUUUAAGAAACUAGGUGUGGUAAGAAUCGGAAAUAUAGCAAAAUAAUGUUUCAAUCGGUGCCAGUUUUUGCAAAAAAUAAAACUUAUUUAUACACAUUUAAUCCUGAAGAUUAAGUUUUCUGAAGCUAAAUCAGUAUUAUAACACCCUUAUUCAAUUGUUUGCGUGACGUUGUUGGCUUCAAAUCUUGGUGGGCUUCGUGUUUUUUACGGAACCAUCUAAAUUACUUCCUGGAAUAUUCAAAACGUAAGAAAACAAGGCAUCUGAUGGUCAAAUGCAUUAGUUUUUUAUUUUAAAAAAUAUUUGCAGUCCUUUCUGGAUUCGGUGCCAAUGCGAAUGAAUUCCUCUGCUCUGUUUUCAGAGUUUCGUGCGAAAGGAGUGUCAAGUUUACGCCCGGACUGGUAUGUAUUUCUGAUUGCCGGGAUCAUCUCAACAAAGCCCUCGCGGGUGGCAGAGCAGUGCGCAUUGUUUUGCUAAUUUACUCCAUAAAAAGGCGAGUCUGAGACUCUACGUUAAACUAUAGGCCAAGGAGCUGGCAUUUGGUUAUCUUGGACCAGCCGGCAUGAAAAUUAAAACUGAAAUCUCUGUGCACGCCCUAGAAGUGCGUGCAGCUGCACUAAAACGCUACGGACGCGCGUUGGACGAUUUUAAAAAUUAAUUUCCAUCACUGUAGCCGCUUAUUGUCCGAAUGGAAUAAACUGAAAGCCGUCUCAGCAGCAGUAGUUGUCACGUACACCAAUCGGCGGAAUAAGUCUACAUUUUAUUUAAAAUUUCUUAUUUUGGUGUAAGUAUUUUAGUUGCUUUACGUUAUCAUAUGUGUGUUUUUGCACAAACUUUGGUACUGCGUUUUAAUAAAUUUCUGUCUAAGCAAUCGCUAGCUGGCGACAGCGAUUGCCGGUAAUAUGCGGAUCAAACCUAAACGAACGGAGCCUUGCAGUCACGGUGAAGUAAGUUAAUUUUUACACAGGUUUUUUUAAUGAAAUCUUAAAAAUAUUUUUAGAGCAUACGUUGCUCCAUGAUGUUUGCAUUCGUCUGUGCAGCAUGGAUUUUAUCGCAAAAUAUGCAAAUUAUACUAGAGGAAAAUGGAUUUCCCAAAUAUCGGCGGUAUUUGUUGAGUCGAAACUAAUUUCCGCGGAUUAAAUAAGAGUAUAAUUAUUAUUUUUGGCGGCUAUAAUUAUUGACUGUCGAUUUGCUGCGGUGUGCAGCAGGGGAAAAUGGUAAGUUUGGCAAUAUUCUACGCUCGCUACUCAAUCAUCAACAGGCACAAUCUGCUUGUUUUGCGUCUGCUGCCGGCGCAUUGCUGAAAUACUUCUCUUUGCUCACUAUUACUCCUGCGUCUACGGUUUCUCGCACUAAUUUCUUUAUAAAUUUGCAUUUUUCCAAAGAGUUCUCUAGAAUGGAAGGUAAGACGGUUUUCUUCAAUUUCGAUAACGCUCCUGAAAGUUGCUUUCAAUUUGUAUUCUUUCUAGAAAUAUGCAGUCAAUUUAAAUCCUUAUUUUGGCUUUGGAAUCGAUUCAAGGUAAGAAUUAAAAAAAAAACUGCAUUGUGUUGCCUGCAGUAAGCAGUUGGACAAAUUUGAAGCCGAAAGAUGGAUACUAUUAAAAUAUAAUGGAUUUUUUUUAAUAUGAUGGAAUGUAAAUUAGAAGCCUCAGCCGCGAGUUUUAAAUUUGCUGAUGGCGGUGCCAGCUUCUCCAGUAAUUGUGCAGUAUGGUGUGCCGAAAGCCUUUUUUUAUCUCGACCCUUUUUCACCGGUGGCUGGCAGCCCAGCCAGUUUCACGGCGGCUGCGCACGUCACUCUAAAAGUUUGAUGGCUGCCUGCGUAACCUUUUACAUAAUUUAAAUUCCUUGUUCUGCGUUAUGCUUAGUUUGCAUUUCAUUUUAAAUUAUACAUUAGCUUCAAAUUUUAAGACGGAACCAUCUGGAUUUUUUGUUGGAAUAGCCGGAAAGGUAAAAAAUUAAAGUUACGUGAAACAAGGAAUUGAACGAUCAAUUUAUUUUUUAUUAAAUUUUAAAAAUUAUGCUUGUUUAUGCGCUUAUGAACUCUGUGCCAAUUUGAUUGAAUUUACUGCUCUGUUUUCAGAGUUUUGUAGGAGUUUGACUCCCGCAAUGGUGAGUACUUCGGCGUAGCGGCGGAUCUUCUCAUCGAAGUCUUCGCUGGUGACAGUGCAGAGCGCUUUUUGCUGUUGGUUCGCUAUAUUAUUAAAGCGGCGCGGACCUACUUAAAAAAUUUAUUCCUCGAUUGUUAAAAAAGACUGCAGCCGAGAUGAAAUAAUAUCUUUCAUGCUGUAAUGUAUAGCCGUGAUCCCAUUCUAUCAUUCUGCUCUUUCCUGCAAUGGUGGAAUUUGAAUAUUUCCGCCGGUUUCAUCGGCAGAAAAUUCCUUGCUGCUGGUUACUCCCAUCCCGCAUCGGCGUGUAGCCAAUCGCAGCGCUACAACUGCUGCUGCUGCUAAAUUUGCGGGUAGCCCGUGGAAACGCGAACAUUGACGAAAUGAGGGGCAAGUGCGACAAAUAAUCCAAUUUCAGGAGAGGAGCAAUGCUGAGAGAUGCGAAACAACAGCAAGACGGAAAGGAGUGAGUAAGGAGUUAGGAGUGAGGUGAACGUAGCUGGUCAGCCCCCCACCACCGCUUCCCCUCUUUUAAUGACUGGCUGUCUCGCAUCUCCUUACCAGCACCGUCUUCUACUCCCAGCCUAACUCUCCUUCAGUCAUCCUAAUCCAAUGCAUUGCUGCUGCGCCAGUAAACCUAAGCGAACAAGCGUGCCUGGUAGAUGGCCUCGGAGGUCGGAGGCGGCCACCGAGGGACACCGGCCGAUUGAUUACAGAAUUUGGGGCAGAACGUGAACUGCUGGGUGGCCCUUUGCCUGUUGGAUGGAACUACGUGGCGGCACCUGCCAGGAACCUGUGCUUCCGAGAUUCGAUUGUGGAGGCGCCACUGCUGCGCGGCGCCAGUUGAACAGACUCAACGCUGCCAUUGCGUGUUUCCGAAACGUUGUGAUCGUGCGGCGCCGAAAAUGUCCGAGGCCCACGAGGGCCUCCUCAAGCGGCCAACCGGAGACGCGAGGCCUUCACCCUGGCCGCCACUGCCUGCCGCAAGCUAGACCACGUCCCUCGGUCACUGUCGAAUCCUGCGAGCCGGGAAGCGCGGUGGCCAUGUUUUCUUUAAAUUAACACCUGGCGCGGAUGAUGCCUACCUGAGAGCCUCGGCGUCGAAGAUGAGGCGCGCCGUCUGCUCGAAUUUGGUCUCUUGAGUCGGCUGCGUCAGCCGUGUCGAGGCCGCGGCCGCCCUCGAGCCAGCCCUGCGCCAUCCGCAUCACGUAGCCCCUCGGUGGCCCCCAGCCUGCAUCCCGGUUCCCGCCGCCGCUCUCCAGCCACUUGGGACGCGUCUGCUCGUCCAGUUCGGCUUUGGACUUGUUGCGAAACUGCAGGUGUGGUUCGAAAAGCAAAGACGAGCCUUUUGAAGCGUUUCAGAAAUAGACAAACGUGCAAUUGGACCAACUUCCAGCAGGGGGCCGCGACGGCAAGCCAAAGUCCAAAAAGCCGCAGGACAACGACGAGUCGGACCAGUCGGGCGACGAGGAGAAACAGCAAGCCCAAACUGCAGCUAGUCGACGACAAAACGUCCGGCCCUGGCGAGAAAUAGAACAAAGAAGGAUUCGCUCCUCGCGGCAAGCCCUCCAGGCGCGGCCGCGGAGGGAUAUCUUAAAGAGGUUUGAGUUUGUCGUGGUUCAAGUCGAGACAGCGCGCCAGCCAGCCGUGAGCACAGCUGGUCCGGCUUGGAGCCGUCGUUUGGUAGCAGCGAGCACGCCUAAUAUUGUAAGCCACUGCUUCAGCUCACUCAGAAUGUUGAGAAUCCUGCGUGGCAGCAAGCAGUUGCCCCGUAGUUAAAAACCCUGUAAUAAUUUUGUUUCUUUGCCAAUAAAAUUCAUCGAAAGCUGA
Long non-coding RNA from Cloeon dipterum, 6346 nucleotides. RefSeq lists it as uncharacterized. The record is from RefSeq and is a predicted model, not a curated record. NCBI's taxonomy places the organism in Eukaryota, Metazoa, Arthropoda, Insecta, Ephemeroptera, Baetidae. The transcript is spliced from 5 exons.